GACGAACCGUGCGAACGUUAUUCGGAAUCACUGGGCUUAAAGCGUGUGUAGGCGGACCGUUAAGUACCUUGUGAAAUCCCCCGGCUCAACCGGGGAACGGCUGGGUAUACUGGCGGUCUUGAGCCAUCCAGGGGCAGUCGGAACAGACGGUGGAGCGGUGAAAUGCGUAGAUAUCGUCUGGAACGCCGAAGGUGAAAACAGACUGCUGGGGAUGAGCUGACGCUGAGACACGAAAGCCAGGGGAGCGAACGGG
RNAcentral lists this ribosomal RNA (253 nucleotides) under uncultured bacterium. RNAcentral's name for it is "partial 16S ribosomal RNA". It matches the Rfam family "Bacterial small subunit ribosomal RNA", at positions 524 to 776 of the family's 1533-position model. The record is from RNAcentral.